This 433-nucleotide ribosomal RNA is filed under the name uncultured bacterium. Its description in RNAcentral is "partial 16S ribosomal RNA". It matches the Rfam family "Bacterial small subunit ribosomal RNA", at positions 29 to 507 of the family's 1533-position model. The record is from RNAcentral.
AGCGAACGCUGGCGGCAGGCCUAACACAUGCAAGUCGAACGAACUCUUCGGAGUUAGUUGCGGACGGGGGGGUAACACGUGGGAACGUGCCUUUAUGUUGGGACUAACUCUGGGCAAAUUGUGCUAAUACCGAAUGAGCUCUUCUGGGGAAAGAUUUCUCGCCUCGAGAGGUGCACGCGUAGUAUAAGCGAUUGGUUGAGGUAAAGGCUCACCAAGGCGAUGAUAGGUAGCUGGUCUGAGAGGAUGUUCAGCCACAGUGGGACUGUGACACGGCGCGAACUUCUGCGGGAGGCAGCAGGGGGGAAUCUUGCGCAAUGGGCGAGAGACGGACGCAGCCAGGCCGCGUGAAUGAUGAAGGUCUUAAGAUUGUAAAAGUCUUUCAACAGCGACGAUAAUGACGGUACCCAGAGAAGAAGCCCCGGCUAACUUCGUG